Molecule: ribosomal RNA, 451 nt
Filed under: uncultured bacterium
Lineage: Bacteria
Description: bacterial SSU rRNA
Rfam family: Bacterial small subunit ribosomal RNA
Source: RNAcentral
AGAGUUUGAUCCUGGCUCAGAACGAACGCUGGCGGCAUGCCUAACACAUGCGAGUCGAACGAGACCUUCGGGUCUAGUGGCGCACGGGUGCGUAACGCGUGGGGAUCUGCCCUUUGCUUCGGAAUAACAGUUAGAAAUGACUGCUAAUACCGGAUGAUGACUUCGGUCCAAAGAUUUAUCGGCAAAGGAUGAACCCGCGUAGGAUUAGCUAGUUGGUGGGGUAAAGGCCUACCAAGGCGACGAUCCUUAGCUGGUCUGAGAGGAUGAUCAGCCACACUGGGACUGAGACACGGCCCAGACUCCUACGGGAGGCAGCAGUGGGGAAUAUUGGACAAUGGCGAAAGCCUGAUCCAGCAAUGCCGCGUGAGUGAUGAAGGCCUUAGGGUUGUAAAGCUCUUUACCCGGGAUGAUAAUGACAGUACCGGGAGAAUAAGCUCCGGCUAACUCCGUG